Molecule: ribosomal RNA, 207 nt
Filed under: uncultured bacterium
Lineage: Bacteria
Description: partial 16S ribosomal RNA
Rfam family: Bacterial small subunit ribosomal RNA
Source: RNAcentral
CGUGUAGGCGGUGAGAUAAGUCUGGUGUGAAAUAUCCCGGCUCAACCGGGAAGGCGCGCUGGAAACUGUCUUACUUGAGUGAUGGAGGGGGAACUGGAAUUCCUGGUGUAGGGGUGAAAUCUGUAGAGAUCAGGAAGAACACCGGAGGCGAAGGCGAGUUUCUGGCCAUCUACUGACGCUGAGGCGCGAAAGCGUGGGGAGCGAACA